Non-coding RNA from Camellia sinensis, 278 nucleotides. The record is from RefSeq and is a predicted model, not a curated record. NCBI's taxonomy places the organism in Eukaryota, Viridiplantae, Streptophyta, Magnoliopsida, Ericales, Theaceae.
CGGAAGUUCAGUGAGUGUUCAAUCGGAAUUUUGAAGACAACAAUAACUACAUCAUACCGUGAUUACAGUUUUUCCAAGUAAGGGUUGAAGGGGUUUGUAAUUGGCUACCGGAUGACUUGAAGGAAGAAUAUCUGCAUAGUGUGAAAGUAGUGGAGAAGGUGGUGUUGAGAGCUGUAAUUUUCCCUUGUCUUUCCAUUCUGUUCAUUUGAAAUCAUCUGUGCCAUGGCAGACAUGAAGAUGUGAAUAAGAUAUAUGUGCUUAUUGCUAAACUUUAGUGA